AAUGCAAACCGAAACUCUUCGAGUGAGAAAGAUCCCGGAUGUGGCAGCGUGUACAGGCGCAUCGGCGUAAGGAAAGUUGGACGUCGUUCGUGUUCUUGCUUGCUGCUCAGCAUGUUGCACAUGAGUAAUAUCACGUGGAAAUAUCAAAUCGUGGAAUCAGAGCAAAGUGUGACAGUGACUAGUGAACUGGAAUGCGGAAACCACCGCCGCCACGUUUGAAGAGCCCAAUAGCCACGGUGGCCGUAAAUUGUGGGAAGUGGCAAAAGGUCAGCGACAGUGCCUACUCCGUCCGUAUCAAUGGUGAAGCUUUUCUUCGGCACUAAGAAGAAUCAGUGACGACUUCAUGAACUACAGUGCUGCUUUUUUGUUUCAUGUAAAGUGUCCUUGUAAGCACACAUUUCAGCAUUUCGAGUGUACAUUUCUGCGCUUAAAGCCUAGCAAGAGUCACAUCUUUGUGCACAGAUUUAAAGUAUACAAUAUUAUGCCAUGGAAGCGUGAGACGACGUGACUGUGCAUGUAUAGUGCGAUAACUAGAGGGUCAGAGCUUUCUCGCUUGAGCAAGGUAUUUGAAAUCUGCCUCUAAAAUUAUUAUACAUGAUUUUUUUGGCUAUGUAGUAAUCAGCUGUGAGAAACCAGAUGGGCCAACUGCAACAAAAGCUUGGAAUUUUUGUUCAUGCAACACAUCUAACCAAAGGAAAAUAAGAGUCCACGAUAGUGAAACCCUGAGACGAGGGACAUAUACACACAAUGUCUCAAACACAGCUGAAGGGUUUAUUCCCACAAAAGAUACUCAACUCACAGAGUCAGAAAGUGAGUCACAACAGUAAACUGAUCAGCUUCCUCAAGACCAGAAAAAAGGUGACUGAGGGAUCUCUGACACAGUUUCCACAACCCAGUAUGGAGAGCGUUUCCUUAAGAAUCCUCUUCUGUCGGUUACCCUCUUUGGUCAUCACAACAGUAUCCUUCCACAACAGACGGCUACCCUUGCACAAUUCCAAAUGUUUCACAAUUUUCGAACAAUUAUCAUUAUUUUUUUACUUUCAAUGAGUGCUCUCUUAUAGCUGGUCAUUCACACAUCGCUUUGGCUGGCCAGUGCAAAAAAAAAAAAGAAAAACUGCAUCCAAGAGCAAUCUGAUAUGCAAAUUUGAUUGGCCAGAACCUGUGUCAGCAAUCCUUCAGUGACCUUCCCUGUGGCCUUUAGGAAGCUGGUGACUUUCCCGUUGUGCUUCGCUUUCUGUCUCUGUGGUUUGAGUAUGUUGUGUUUGAAUAAACCCUUCAGCUGUGAAAGAUGAAAGGCACUGAAAAGGUUAGCUAGCUGUAGGAGUCGAACCCACAUCUUCUGGAUUGCCUCCAUCUCUCUCCUUGUCCCUCAGCUGUGUUUGAUAUGUUGUUUGUGUAUGUCCCUUCUUGUCCCUCGUCUUUGGGUUUCGCUAUCAUGGAUACUUAUUACCAGCUCACUUGCUACUUAACCUUCCUUUCACUAUGCAUAAGAGGUUUUCGUAGUUUUUGUCAUUGUUCAAGAUAAAUCAUAGUCCAUGGUACAAACGUUGCAUGACAACAGAGCUUUGCACAAUUUGUGAAAUGUGUAUUACAUCAUACAUUACAUUAUAUCAUAAUCAUACAUUACAUCAUGUUUUUGAUGCAGUCCAUAUCCAAACCUAUACGAACUUCUCGCAUUGCAGUGUGCUUCUAUCAUAGGAAAUUUAUGCCACAAUAUAUUCAGCAUUGACUUAGGUUUGUUUGUGUUUCCAUGAGUGCAUUGCCGUUGUCUUUGUCGGUACAAUUUAAAUUACUUUUGGCCACUGUUGACGUUGAUUGGGGGUAAGACUGGUAUGCUACUCGGCAGUACUUUGACAUAUAUGUGUGCAUCUUGUAGCCUAAUACGUAUGUUGGAUUUUGUGGGUGUGUUGAAGAGGAAAACGAGUUGUAAUAAAA
This is a long non-coding RNA of Ornithodoros turicata, 1935 nucleotides long. RefSeq lists it as uncharacterized. The record is from RefSeq and is a predicted model, not a curated record. Lineage: Eukaryota; Metazoa; Arthropoda; Arachnida; Ixodida; Argasidae. The transcript has 3 exons.